Physcomitrium patens is the source of this 2691-nucleotide non-coding RNA. The record is from RefSeq and is a predicted model, not a curated record. Lineage: Eukaryota; Viridiplantae; Streptophyta; Bryopsida; Funariales; Funariaceae.
CAACAUUCGUCGUGUCUUCUGGAACAGUUCAUUCUUAGCAGAGUGAGAGAUAGGGUUUAGGGUUCGAGGACGAGCGAGUGGUCAUGUGAGGGACUGUUUUGAUUGUUGUGGAAAUUGCAAAUGCAAUUAUCUCGCGGACACUGGCUGCAAGUCGGAUACGCCAUUUGCAGUGUGGCAGAACGCUUGAGAUAAGUUGUUAUGGAGCGGAUUUGUAGGUGAAGAGUUGAGAAAUGUGAGGAUGAUGGAUGGAGGGGUUUUGGCAAUUGUGGCUUCUGCGAGAGUUUCUGUAGCAGCAGGGAAGUCUGCGUCCUCCACGGUGUCGUCUGCUUCGGUGGGCGGGUUACGCACCGGUUGGCAAGUGUGUUUGAACGCAAUGAAUGAGCAGUAGAGUCCUCAUGCAGUUGACAGAGAUGCAAGAUGAAGCCUGAGCAUGGCCCAGGAGUGUUUUAUUCAUUGGGGGAAUAAAAUACAAGAAUGGGGGAAUGGUGGUGCACUAUAGACUAAAACUGAGAGAUGGCGCACCAAAAGUGUGCCAUAUCAUCUGUCUAGUCUAAAUGCCUAGCCCUGCAUAUGAACCCUAGGGAGGCGUGCAUUUGGAAAGCGGUGCAGGGUUCACAUCGGGUAGAAGGUGACCCCUGGGGCCAGGGUGACCUUCUUGCAGGCGAUGGGGAAGAGGAGGUUGAGGGGAAGUCGAGGAGGGAUCGAGACUUUCAUGAGGAUCCUCCGGCCCAGCCUCCUCGACAACAAUGGGGACACGGUUGGCAUGAUCUUAGGCACCAGCACUGGUGUAAUGUUGCACCGUGGCCUCGGCCUAACGCGUGGCCUUAUGCGUGGCCUGAGCAGUUCAGCAGGCUUCGGCUCUGGCUGCACAAGAGGAUGCUCGGGAUGCGCGGGUGUCUGCAAGGCAGAGUUCGAAGCACGGGGUGGCUUCGAGUGCGCAUUGAAUUUGGGCUUGGGGUUUUUGGAGGUGUGCCUUGGAAGCUGCAUUGGCUUGGCAGGAAGGGUAGUUGCCUUCUUCUGCUUGAUUGUGGGGGCAGAGAUUAUUGUUCGUGGGGGCAAAGAUCGAGGAGUGAGGACGAUGAUGGUCCUCCUCUUGGGGGGCUGCUUGGAGAUGGGUGCCAUGGCUAGGGAGGAAACACAAGCAAGCCCAGGUCCUCUACGAAGAGAGCAAAAUAAAAACAGGAAAAUGAAGUGGAAUGAAGGUGGCAGCGCACAGCAUACCUAGUCAUAGGAACUCCUGGAGCAAAGUGGAGGGAGGAGGGCGCAAGCACUGGGAGUUCCAGUAGGAGUUGAGUAGGAGUUGCAGAAGCCGAGAGCAGCUUCAGUCCAGGGCAGCGGUUGUGGAGCACGUGGAAAGGUUGUGGAGCACACAAGCCAGCGUGGGGAGGAGGAUGGGGAAUCCAUGGGGUCUUCUUGGUCCUGAUGUGUGCCUUAUUCGUUGGCCCUCGUUCUCUGUGGGAGGCGCAGAAGCAGUGAUGAGAUUCGCGAGGGUUUGCGACAUGUCUGAUUUGGGUGAGAGAGCGAAUGGAAGCGGGAAGAAGCGACUUGGGGGAACGGCGUCUGAUAUGGGGAGUGUGAGCGAUUCCGGGUUUUGGGACGCUGUGCAUUUGGUUGGCGCUGCGUGGGUGUGUGGACGGAUUUGGAGCGUGCGAUACGGGUGCCCACGGCAUGGGCGAAACGUUUCAUCACUUACUCCACGUUUAAAAAUGUUGAGACCACCGAGACACCGAAUUAAGGCCUCAUUUUUCUUCAACAAUCAGCAUGUGCUUAGUAAUGAAGCAUUUGCGCGACGCAAUGCAGUCAGCAGGCUGAAGUGUUGGUCGGUCCCCUAUACACCAUUUUAUAACUUCUAAAGAUGGCACGGUACAGGUAUUGCUGAGCCUGGAAGAUGAUAGACUUGUCGAAGCUGUUGGUAUCCCGGUGACGUAUAGGAAAGGAGGGUCAAGGCUGACUGACUGUGUGUAAUCACAGGUUGGCUGCGCACUGAAUUGUACAUUUUGUUGCACAGGAAAAGAUGGAUUUGCACGUAACUUGAAGUCACAUGAAAUAGUUGAUCGGGCAUGUAUACUUCGUUGUGCUCCUGGUUUCAGUCUUUCUACCAAUUUUAGCCGUUGACUAUUUGUCACUGGUGGCAAGUUCAAGGUUCUCAGAAAUAUACAUUCAGCAUCAACCCACUGGUGAUGAUGUGCUUACCAGUUACUUCGUGGAAUUCGGUUUUUGCAUGUUGUUACUGCAGGUGCUUGCAAUAGAAGACUUGCUCAGGAAACCCAUGACAAAUAUGGUGUUCAUGGGCAUGGGCGAACCAUUAAUUAACCUUGGAGCUGUUUUAGAUGAUCACCUAUCGUAAACAAGGUUUGCAUCAAUCCUAUGGUUGUAACAGGGUUGAUGUGUGUUUUUUUAUACGUUGCUGAUAGUAAGUUGUGUUUGCUUAAGUUAUAAAGAACUCUCCAUCUCUCAAUCUCUUUCUCUCUCAGAGUUCGUUCCAGUAAAACUGAUGUUCUGUACAUAAUAAUUCAAGAAUCGAAAACAGCUCAGCAAAUGAUGGUAAUCCUCACCGUGGGAAUUCUAAACACCAUACGACGCCUUGCACCUCACAAGUUUCACUCAAUGCUAGUUGUUAGGUACAGAAACUUUUGGAGCCGCUUGUAUCUUCAAUUUGUUAUUAUCUAGGGUACUUUUGUACAUUGUUCA